GAUGAACGCUGGCGGCGUGCUUAACACAUGCAAGUCGAACGGAAAGGCCCAAGCUUGCUUGGGUACUCGAGUGGCGAACGGGUGAGUAACACGUGGGUGAUCUGCCCUGCACUUCGGGAUAAGCCUGGGAAACUGGGUCUAAUACUGGAUAGGACCACUUCUUGGAUGUUGUGGUGGAAAGUUUUUUCGGUGUGGGAUGAGCUCGCGGCCUAUCAGCUUGUUGGUGGGGUAAUGGCCUACCAAGGCGUCGACGGGUAGCCGGCCUGAGAGGGUGUACGGCCACAUUGGGACUGAGAUACGGCCCAGACUCCUACGGGAGGCAGCAGUGGGGAAUAUUGCACAAUGGGCGCAAGCCUGAUGCAGAGACGCCGCGUGGGGGAUGACGGCCUUCGGGUUGUAAACUCCUUUCGCUAGGGACGAAGCGUUUUGUGACGGUACCUGGAGAAGAAGCACCGGCUAACUACGUG
This 467-nucleotide ribosomal RNA is filed under the name uncultured bacterium. RNAcentral describes it as "partial 16S ribosomal RNA". It matches the Rfam family "Bacterial small subunit ribosomal RNA", at positions 28 to 507 of the family's 1533-position model. The record is from RNAcentral.